Molecule: ribosomal RNA, 863 nt
Filed under: uncultured Gemmatimonadota bacterium
Lineage: Bacteria; Pseudomonadati; Gemmatimonadota
Description: bacterial SSU rRNA
Rfam family: Bacterial small subunit ribosomal RNA
Source: RNAcentral
AGGGUUUGAUCAUGGCUCAGGACGAACGCUGGCGGCGUGCUUAACACAUGCAAGUCGCACGGGGGUAGCAAUACCUCAGUGGCGAACGGGUGCGUAACACGUGAGGAACAUACCCUUUGGCGGGGGAUAGCCGGCCCAACGGCCGGGUAAUACCGCGUACGCCCUCCGGGUGGCAUCACCUGGGGGGGAAAGCAGCAAUGCGCCAAUGGAGUGCCUCGCGGCCUAUCAGCUAGUUGGUGAGGUAACGGCUCACCAAGGCGACGACGGGUAGCUGGUCUGAGAGGAUGAUCAGCCACAUUGGGACUGAGACACGGCCCAGACUCCUACGGGAGGCAGCAGUGGGGAAUCUUGCGCAAUGGCCGAAAGGCUGACGCAGCGACGCCGCGUGUGGGAUGAAGGCCUUCGGGUCGUAAACCACUGUCGGGAGGGACGAAGAUCUGACGGUACCUCCAAAGGAAGCACCGGCUAACUCUGUGCCAGCAGCCGCGGUAAUACAGAGGGUGCGAGCGUUGUCCGGAAUCACUGGGCGUAAAGGGCGCGUAGGCGGCCUGGUAAGUCGGGGGUGAAACGCUGCGGCUCAACCGCAGCACUGCCUUCGAGACUGUCAGGCUUGAGCACGGUAGAGGCUGGUGGAAUUCCCGGUGUAGCGGUGGAAUGCGUAGAGAUCGGGAAGAACAUCGGUGGCGAAGGCGGCCAGCUGGGCCGUUGCUGACGCUGAGGCGCGACAGCGUGGGGAGCAAACAGGAUUAGAUACUCUGGUAGUCCACGCCGUAAACGAUGGGUACUAGGCGUCGGGGGGAGCGACCCCCUCGGUGCCGUCGUUAACACACUAAGUACCCCGCCUGGGGAGUACGGUCGCAAGA